Long non-coding RNA from Loxodonta africana (African savanna elephant), 3563 nucleotides. RefSeq lists it as uncharacterized. The transcript is spliced from 2 exons. The record is from RefSeq and is a predicted model, not a curated record. Lineage: Eukaryota; Metazoa; Chordata; Mammalia; Proboscidea; Elephantidae.
AAAGUAGUUGCCUGGCUUGUUGGGUCUGCUCUCAAACUAACUCUUACCUUUUCCAUUUUCUGCUGGGCACUUUUCAGUGUUCGCUACCUCAGUGGAAAACACAUUUGGGUCAAUUUAUUUGAGAAAAACUCAUGAAAUAUCAGAUAUCACAGAGCCUAUAUUCAAAGAUUUCCAAAAGAACCCAGAAGGUCAAAUUGGCAGUACAGAACUUUUUAAUAACUGCUGGUCACAUCACGAAAUUAGAAGAUGACUAAGAUUUUUGUAGAAGCUGUAACCAGUGUGGUGGCACAGUAUGGAUCAAGAGUUUUGGAGAAGGGACAAAGCUCAUAGUAACUCCUUUUGAUAGAACAUGGUGCUGCUUCCUCCUGAUAACUUGCAAAACCUGUAUUAUUGGCUUUGAUUUUACCUCUAACAGGAAUGCAUAAAAAUUACUUCUUAGAGUAAGUGACUACAGCACAUCAAUACAUUCCACUUCUUAUUACUCUAGCUCAUUAGGGGAUAGACUGAGAUCAGACAAAAGUGUGCUACUGUGACUCUUGUUAUGUGGCCUGGAGAUGAGUCAGUUUAGUGGAAUAUGUAAGUUCAAUGAACCAUUUCAGCUCUAAGUCCAUGAAAAGUCUACGUGGUUUUACAUCCUCAUUUGUUCAUUCAAUCUCUGGGUAAACAUCUAUUGAAGACAGUGUCUGUGCUGAAUGGUGGGAAUAAAAGGGUAAAAAAGACACAGUUCUGACCUGCAAAAAGCUUUCAGUCUAGUGAAUGGGUGUUCUAGUUACUGACUUGACUGGGCCUCCUGUUCUUUGGUCUGUAGCUGGUAGAAUUGUAGGAGGCCUUGGGUUCAUGAGCUCUUUCCCUUUCCUUAUGUAGAGGCUAUUGCUUAUAAAAUACUUGUGUUUGGUGGAAAAAUUUGGUGGAAAUGGCCCAAUGCCAUCCCAUUAAAAUGACACCAUACUAAAAAUUUCAGUGCCUUAUCUCAUUCCUCAACAACCCUAUGCAAGAGAUACUUUUAUCCCCAUUUUACAGAUGAGGAAACUAAGGCUUAGAGAAGUUCAUGUAAUUGAUAUUUGCCUAAGGUCACAGGACUAGUUAUUGUGGUGAUGUUUGGAUUCCAAUCUAGAUUUGUUUAGUCCAAAGCCCACGGUCUUAGCCAUUAUGCGAUAUUACAAAUAUUAAGUCAAACUUUUGUAUUCUUAAUAUUUUCUCAUCUGUGCCAAGACCUCUUAAAUAGAUUCUUUAAUGGACUAAUUAGUAACUAGUUACUACUCAUGUGUGAAAACAAUGCUUCUACUUCUAAUCAAAGAACUAAAAUUGCUGCCCCCAAAGAAAGAUCAUGAAAGUCAUAUUGAAUAUGCAUUAAUUAAAUAAUCAAAAUGUGAUUCGUAGGGUAUUUCUACAGAAUGACAAAUCAUUUUGAUCCCCUCCCAUUCAGCUUUCUUUCUGUAUUGGCAUCAAGUGUGCUAGACAUGUUGAAGCUGGCUAAAGAAUAGUAGCUGUACUACAUCAACAAACUAAGCUUCAUCACUGAGAGCUGCCUCUCAGUUCAUGAUGGAACAGCUGAAGGAAUAUUCACAACAGGAUUCUCUUAUAAGAAGCACAGAAUUUUUAUUCAAUGCUCUGGAAAUUGUAAAUGUUGUGUUUAAAAAUGAAAAAGAGCAGGCUUUCAACAAAGAGUAAUAGCUCAUUGAGAAUUCAUACUCUCUAACAGCUCGUCUAGGGUACUACAAAGAGGUUAUACUAGAAGCACUUCAGAUGUUCACCCUCAUACACAUAAAACACAAAAUUCCUGUAACUGAUAUUGAAUGUGCAUUUGUUAAGUACUCAUGUAUAUAUGAUUCCCAUUAUUGUUUCUCUUAGAAAAUUAAGCAAAUAUUAAUUAACUUUAAAUGCUAUUACAUUUGUUGCAAAGAACAGGCUUUAUAAAUGAAAAAAUUUUUAAGGCAGCUGAUUUAGAAGAUUCAAGCAAAAUGAUAAAAAUAAAAUAAAAAAAAAAGGUGAAACAAGUCUCUCCAAUGUAUGAGAUUCAAGAGAAAGAACAUAACCCAAGCUUCCUUGGCUGAGUGGGGCCACUACUUACAUUCUCAGUUACACUCAGAUCUAAUGUGAUUUUGUUUGAGCUUUGUCUUUGUUUAAUGUGAGCAGGGCCAAUUUUUAUUUAUUUAUAUAAAUAUUGAAAUAAAUAUAGGAGCUAUUUUAAAACAGGCACAAAGGGAGAUUUCUAUAAAGGGUUUUCAGGUAGUGGGCAAGUGGAUGGCAAGAGAGUCAAAGUGUUUGGUCUUGGCACCAAGCUCAUUGUUACAGGUAAAUUUUCCUUAACUAUUGCAUUGGAAAUUUAAAUUCACUUAAAUUCUGCAUUGUAAUGUGACCAAGGAGGCAGGUGAUGCAGGUGCUACAGGGUAGAGUCCUGAUACGGGCUUUAGAAUCCUUGGAUUUAGUUCCAAUUUGAUCAUGAAUCAUGGUGGGAUGGCUGAAGAGGUGAGGAACUUGGUCCAGUUUCUAAAGAGGCAAUAUACACUGACCUAUUACCUGCAGGACAUUAACAAGGAGUUUAACAAGGAAUUUAGAACAACCAUGGAUUCCAAAAGGAUGGAGAUGUUAUAUCCCUUUGAUAUUUCUGAGUUGAAAGGUUUGUAAACACAUUUAUGCAUUUUAUUUGUUUGAUGCCAAGAAUAAACAAUAAAUAAUGUAUAACCAUUAAUAAAAAUGAAAAAAAAAUCUUGUUAAACUUGUCAUUUGGUCAUGGAGGAUUAACUAUUUGGUGAUUUGACUGCAGGAUAAUUCAUAUCAAAUAUUGAAACAUGUGGCUUAGUGACCAUACUCCAGAAUGUCAUAAGCUGAGUUUAUUUGUUUUUUUCUAAAUUCAGUCCAAUAAGUUUGUUUAUUCCUCAUUAGCCUUAAAGAUGAACUUUUGCCUGAAAGAAGGAGAACAUUUUACAGAUGUUUCUAGCCUAGAAAAUUAACUGAAAUGAAAAGUUUAAAAGAAUUUUCAUAAAGAUGAUGAACUGUUGAAAAAUAGAAAGGGACUAUUUUUUAGUGGUUGAGGUUAUAUGAAAAAAUGAAUUCAUCAAUGGAAAAGUAACUUUCUGGUCUUCUUUUUUUCUAAUUGACUACAUACUGAGUGUGAAUUGUAGCAAUCAGACUUAAUAUAAUCAGUUAUGUCCCUGAGAAGUGUUUUUGGAAGUGUGUGGGGCAGGGGAAAGUAGGGACUUGGCUUUGAUUCUGGAAUAGGGCUUCUGGUUAUAUCACUUCCUGUGCAAACAACCUUUAGCAAGGAAAUUUCGAUUCACUGGUUAUUGCUUUAUUAAAAUUAUGAACAUAGUAUUUGCUCAUUAUAGAAAGAUUGAAAAUAUAAAAAAUUAAUGUUUGGUACUGCAUUUAUCACUGCUAACACUUUGAUACAUUACCAUCUGAUCUUUUUAUCUAUGCAUAUUUUUGUUUGUUUUAUAAAUUUGGGAUCAUAGUAGAUACACAACAACUUAUCUGGCUUUCUUUUACGUCACACUACUUCAUGAACACGUUUCCCAAAUGUCUUUAACAUAGUUCAGUAACUGAGCAAAUCUUAAACUACU